This 254-nucleotide ribosomal RNA is filed under the name uncultured bacterium. RNAcentral describes it as "partial 16S ribosomal RNA". It matches the Rfam family "Bacterial small subunit ribosomal RNA", at positions 524 to 776 of the family's 1533-position model. The record is from RNAcentral.
GACGAAGGGGGCAAGCGUUACCCGGAAUGACUGGGCGUAAAGGGUUCGUAGGCGGUAUCUUUUGUUAAAGGUUAAAAAUUGAAGCACAACUUUUUUAUUGCUUUUAUUACGUUGAUACUUCGAGUUUGAGAGGAGAUAGCAGAAUUUCACAUGGAGGGGUGAUAUCCGUAGAUAUGUGAAGGAAUACCAGAGGCGAAGGCGGCUAUCAUGAUCAAAACUGACGCUGAGGAACGAAAGCAUGGGGAGCAAACAGG